Molecule: ribosomal RNA, 398 nt
Filed under: uncultured bacterium
Lineage: Bacteria
Description: bacterial SSU rRNA
Rfam family: Bacterial small subunit ribosomal RNA
Source: RNAcentral
ACAUGCAAGUCCAACGUGAAAGGGGAGCAAUCCCCCGGUAGGGUGGCAAACGGGUGAGUAAUACAUGGGUGAUCUACCUUAGGGAUGGGGAUAUCCUUCCGAAAGGAGGGGCAAUACCGAAUAUUGUCCGGAGCCGUGAAGGGUUCCGGGGAAAGGGAGGCCUCUGAUACAAGCUUUCGCCUUAAGAUGAGCCCAUGGCCCAUCAGCUAGUUGGUAGGGUAAAGGCCUACCAAGGCUACGACGGGUCGCUGGUCUGAGAGGACGACCAGCCACACUGGCACUGAGAUACGGGCCAGACUCCUACGGGAGGCAGCAGUGAGGAAUAUUGCGCAAUGGGGGAAACCCUGACGCAGCAACGCCGCGUGUGGGAAGAAGGCCUUCGGGUCGUAAACCACUUU